Molecule: ribosomal RNA, 506 nt
Filed under: uncultured bacterium
Lineage: Bacteria
Description: partial 16S ribosomal RNA
Rfam family: Bacterial small subunit ribosomal RNA
Source: RNAcentral
AUUGAACGCUGGCGGCAGGCCUAACACAUGCAAGUCGGACGGUAGCACAGAGGAGCUUGCUCCUCGGGUGACGAGUGGCGGACGGGUGAGUAAUGUCUGGGGAUCUGCCCGAUAGAGGGGGAUAACCACUGGAAACGGUGGCUAAUUCCGCAUAACGUCGCAUGACCAAAGAGGGGGACGUUCGUGCCUCUCACUAUCGGAUGAACCCAGAUGGGAUUAGCUAGUAGGCGGGUUAACGGCCCACCUAGUCGACGAUCCCUAGCUGGUCUGAGCGGAUGACCAGCCACACUGGAACUGAGACACGGUCCAGACUCCUACGGGAGGCAGCAGUGGGGAAUAUUGCGCAAUGGGCGCAAGCCUGAUGCAGCCAUGCCGCGUGUAUGAAGAAGGCCUUCGGGUUGUAAAGUACUUUCAGCGGGGAGGAAGGCGAUGUGGUUAAUAACCGCAUUGAUUGACGUUACCCGCAGAAGAAGCACCGGCUAACUCCGUGCCAGCCGCCGCAGUAA